RNAcentral lists this small RNA (817 nucleotides) under uncultured Actinomycetes bacterium. RNAcentral describes it as "bacterial SSU rRNA". The stretch from base 1 to 471 matches the Rfam family "Bacterial small subunit ribosomal RNA", at positions 1064 to 1533 of the family's 1533-position model. Lineage: Bacteria; Bacillati; Actinomycetota; Actinomycetes. The record is from RNAcentral.
GUCGUGAGAUGUUGGGUUAAGUCCCGCAACGAGCGCAACCCUUGUCCUAUGUUGCCAGCGGGUAAUGCCGGGGACUCGUAGGAGACUGCCGGGGCCAACUCGGAGGAAGGUGGGGAUGACGUCAAGUCAUCAUGCCCCUUACGUCCAGGGCUGCAAACAUGCUACAAUGGCCGGUACAAAGGGCUGCUAUUCCGCGAGGAUGAGCGAAUCCCAAAAAGCCGGUCUCAGUUCGGAUUGGAGUCUGCAACUCGACUCCAUGAAGUCGGAGUCGCUAGUAAUCCCGAAUCAGCAACGUCGGGGUGAAUACGUUCCCGGGCCUUGUACACACCGCCCGUCACACCACGAAAGUCGGCAACACCCGAAGCCGGUGGCCCAACCGUAAGGAGGGAGCCGUCGAAGGUGGGGUCGGUGAUUGGGGUGAAGUCGUAACAAGGUAGCCGUACCGGAAGGUGCGGCUGGAUCACCUCCUUUCUAAGGAGUUCACUGCCUGCUCAUCAUCGAGCAGGUGACUCCCAGUCGAUCACUGGUUAAUCGGCAAUCCUGAAGCGCCCCAGUCGUAGGCCGUGCCUUUUCGAAGGCCAGUCCUCUUGGGUCGUGGACGGUGCGCCGGACUCCUCUGUUCCGUUCUCAAGGGGCGCCGCUCGAGGCGCCCUUUUCUUCGUCGCUCUUUGAGAAUUCCAUAGCGAGCACGAGCAUCUUUGUUCUCCAAGCUACAAAGAGCCAACGGUGAAUGCCUUGGCGCCUGAAGCCGAAGAAGGACGUGGGUGGCUGCGAUAAGCCACGGGGAGCUGCCGACCGAGCUUCGAUCCGUGGAUGU